Molecule: microRNA precursor, 110 nt
Organism: Gallus gallus (chicken)
Lineage: Eukaryota; Metazoa; Chordata; Aves; Galliformes; Phasianidae
Source: Ensembl
UGCUUAGGUAAUCACCAUGCAAGGCUCAGUGGGAGAGGCUCUCACUGGCUCAUGGUCAGAAGAGGAAGCCAGGUGUCUGUGGCAGCCUCACCCCUGUGUGCCUUCUUUCA